Molecule: long non-coding RNA, 225 nt
Filed under: Elaeis guineensis (African oil palm)
Lineage: Eukaryota; Viridiplantae; Streptophyta; Magnoliopsida; Arecales; Arecaceae
Description: long non-coding RNA (EGUI_LNC044099)
Source: RNAcentral
CGAUUUCGUACGUAUAGUUUAAAUUUUUUAAAAAUUUAUAUAGUAAAAAUAAAUAAAUAAAAAUAUUUUUAAUUUAAUUAUGUACCAGAUCUGAUUUGAAAAUCAUAGUUAGGAUAUUGACACAAAUAUGCUACUAUAAUCUGAAAUCUAAAAAAGAAAACAAACGUUAGUAAAAUCGAAACGGAGAUCAGAUCUCCAUACCUUUGGAUCUGCAGAUAGCCGAAG